GUAAAUAUAGUUUAAAGAAACCGUCAGACUGUGAAUCUGAAGAUAGGCUGUAAAAUCCUUAUUUACC
The sequence is a transfer RNA, 67 nucleotides long. It matches the Rfam family "tRNA". From Rfam's summary of the family: Transfer RNA (tRNA) molecules are approximately 80 nucleotides in length.